GACGAACGCUGGCGGCGUGCUUAACACAUGCAAGUCGAACGGAAAGGCCCCUUUGGGGGUACUCGAGUGGCGAACGGGUGAGUAACACGUGAGUAACCUGCCCUUGACUUCGGGAUAACUUCAGGAAACUGGGGCUAAUACCGGAUAGGAAUCCUUGCUGCAUGGUGGGGGUUGGAAAGCUUCGGCGGUUUUGGAUGGACUCGCGGCCUAUCAGCUUGUUGGUGGGGUAGUGGCUUACCAAGGCUUUGACGGGUAGCCGGCCUGAGAGGGCGACCGGCCACAUUGGGACUGAGAUACGGCCCAGACUCCUACGGGAGGCAGCAGGGGGGAAUAUUGCACAAUGGGCGGAAGCCUGAUGCAGCAACGCCGCGUGCGGGAUGACGGCCUUCGGGUUGUAAACCGCUUUCAGCAGGGGCGAAGCUUGUGGUGACGGUACCUGUAGAAGAAGCACCGGCUAACUACGUG
This 465-nucleotide ribosomal RNA is filed under the name uncultured bacterium. RNAcentral describes it as "partial 16S ribosomal RNA". It matches the Rfam family "Bacterial small subunit ribosomal RNA", at positions 28 to 507 of the family's 1533-position model. The record is from RNAcentral.